UAGGGCGGCACCUUGACGGUACCUAACCAGAAAGCCACGGCUAACUACGUGCCAGCAGCCGCGGUAAUACGUAGGUGGCAAGCGUUGUCCGGAAUUAUUGGGCGUAAAGGGCUCGCAGGCGGUUUCUUAAGUCUGAUGUGAAAGCCCCCGGCUCAACCGGGGAGGGUCAUUGGAAACUGGGGAACUUGAGUGCAGAAGAGGAGAGUGGAAUUCCACGUGUAGCGGUGAAAUGCGUAGAGAUGUGGAGGAACACCAGUGGCGAAGGCGACUCUCUGGUCUGUAACUGACGCUGAGGAGCGAAAGCGUGGGGAGCGAACAGGAUUAGAUACCCUGGUAGUCCACGCCGUAAACGAUGAGUGCUAAGUGUUAGGGGGUUUCCGCCCCUUAGUGCUGCAGCUAACGCAUUAAGCACUCCGCCUGGGGAGUACGGUCGCAAGACUGAAACUCAAAGGAAUUGACGGGGGCCCGCACAAGCGGUGGAGCAUGUGGUUUAAUUCGAAGCAACGCGAAGAACCUUACCAGGUCUUGACAUCCUCUGACA
This 541-nucleotide ribosomal RNA is filed under the name Bacillus nakamurai. RNAcentral describes it as "bacterial SSU rRNA". It matches the Rfam family "Bacterial small subunit ribosomal RNA", at positions 457 to 996 of the family's 1533-position model. The record is from RNAcentral. Lineage: Bacteria; Bacillati; Bacillota; Bacilli; Caryophanales; Bacillaceae.